Molecule: ribosomal RNA, 707 nt
Filed under: Lactobacillus sp.
Lineage: Bacteria; Bacillati; Bacillota; Bacilli; Lactobacillales; Lactobacillaceae
Description: bacterial SSU rRNA
Rfam family: Bacterial small subunit ribosomal RNA
Source: RNAcentral
ACACCAGUGGCGAAGGCGGCUGUCUGGUCUGUAACUGACGCUGAGGCUCGAAAGCAUGGGUAGCGAACAGGAUUAGAUACCCUGGUAGUCCAUGCCGUAAACGAUGAAUGCUAGGUGUUGGAGGGUUUCCGCCCUUCAGUGCCGCAGCUAACGCAUUAAGCAUUCCGCCUGGGGAGUACGACCGCAAGGUUGAAACUCAAAGGAAUUGACGGGGGCCCGCACAAGCGGUGGAGCAUGUGGUUUAAUUCGAAGCAACGCGAAGAACCUUACCAGGUCUUGACAUCUUUUGAUCACCUGAGAGAUCAGGUUUCCCCUUCGGGGGCAAAAUGACAGGUGGUGCAUGGUUGUCGUCAGCUCGUGUCGUGAGAUGUUGGGUUAAGUCCCGCAACGAGCGCAACCCUUAUGACUAGUUGCCAGCAUUUAGUUGGGCACUCUAGUAAGACUGCCGGUGACAAACCGGAGGAAGGUGGGGAUGACGUCAAAUCAUCAUGCCCCUUAUGACCUGGGCUACACACGUGCUACAAUGGAUGGUACAACGAGUUGCGAGACCGCGAGGUCAAGCUAAUCUCUUAAAGCCAUUCUCAGUUCGGACUGUAGGCUGCAACUCGCCUACACGAAGUCGGAAUCGCUAGUAAUCGCGGAUCAGCACGCCGCGGUGAAUACGUUCCCGGGCCUUGUACACACCGCCCGUCACACCAUGAGAGUUU